This 741-nucleotide long non-coding RNA is filed under the name Vigna radiata. RNAcentral's name for it is "long non-coding RNA (VRAD_LNC018374)". The record is from RNAcentral. Lineage: Eukaryota; Viridiplantae; Streptophyta; Magnoliopsida; Fabales; Fabaceae.
ACAAUUGUUCUUUCUAGAGAGUGUGAAUCUCGAGUUCUUAGUUUAUAUCUCUCUAGAUUAGAAAAACAUGCAUUAGAGUGGUGGGAUGAAAGGCAAUAUUGGGUUCAUAAAGGUAGAAAAUCCACCAUUGAAAAUUGGUAUGAAUUGAGAUCAUGCAUGAGAAGAAAGUUUGUGCCUCCAAAUAUUCAAAGUAACUUAGAACAUAUGAGAGAGCUUAUUAGAGAAGGCAAGUCAUUCAUUCAAAAUUUAAGUGGAUUCAAUCGUCGGGAAAUAGAUUUUAGAGAAAAACUCAUGAAGUUCUUGAAUAAGGGAAGUAAAAGGAGAUUUGAGAGAGAACAUAGGCAAUUACAAGAAAGAAUAGAGAGACAAGAGAGAAAAAAAGAGCGAAAACGAGAAGAAGAAAGACAAAGAGAAAGAGAGAGAAAGAGAGAACAAGAGGAAGAAAAAGUGAGAAGAGAAGAAGAAGAAAGAGAUAGAAAAGAAGAGGAAGAAAGAGAGAGAAGAGUACAAGAAAGAAGAGAAGAAGAGAAAAUAAGAGAGAAAGAAAGAAAGGAAGAGGAAGAGAAGGAAGAACUUGAAAAGAAAGACAUGGAAGAAAAGAAGAAAGAACUGACAACAUCCCCUAUUCUCACAAUAGAACACAAAUUUUUAAGGGUAGGUUUUCUAUCUUUUCACUUUCCAAUUGUUAUUGAAUGCUUUAAUUCUACCUUUUCUUUCCAAGAAUUUGCCAUCAAACCUUUU